This 252-nucleotide long non-coding RNA is filed under the name Zonotrichia albicollis (white-throated sparrow). RNAcentral describes it as "lncRNA (ENSZALG00000000579.1)". The record is from RNAcentral. Lineage: Eukaryota; Metazoa; Chordata; Aves; Passeriformes; Passerellidae.
AAAUGAUCUGGUGCAUUCAAGUCCAGACAGGAGAAGGAUUCUAGAAUUGAGGUGGAAGCAAACCCAUGGCAGAUUAUCUGGGAAAGAAAGGAACGCAAUUUCUGAUGUAAUUUAACAGUACCAGUAUGACAGGGCAUCUCCUUGGUGUGGCAGAAUAAUGAAGUAAAAAGCAGAAAUGAAUCCAGGGUCAUAAUAUAGUGUUUGAAUGCCCAGGACCUGGAGGUAAGAGUGAACAGCAUUCCCCAGGGAUGG